GGAGAGGUGCGAGAGCGGUUGAAUCGGGCUGCCUGCUAAGCAGUUGUGGCGCAAGCCACCAUGGGUUCGAAUCCCAUCCUCUCCGCCA
RNAcentral lists this transfer RNA (88 nucleotides) under Candidatus Poribacteria bacterium. Its description in RNAcentral is "tRNA-Ser". It matches the Rfam family "tRNA". Rfam says of the family: Transfer RNA (tRNA) molecules are approximately 80 nucleotides in length. The record is from RNAcentral. Lineage: Bacteria; Candidatus Poribacteria.